Molecule: long non-coding RNA, 409 nt
Filed under: Capra hircus (goat)
Lineage: Eukaryota; Metazoa; Chordata; Mammalia; Artiodactyla; Bovidae
Description: lncRNA (ENSCHIG00010014683.1)
Source: RNAcentral
AUGCUCCAAUUCCACCUUCCAGCCCAUACACUUUAUAAGGCUCUUGUUGCUCAAUUCAAUUAUGAUAUUAAUGAGACUCAACUUCAGGCUGAGAAACAUCAGGAAACCCUGCUAAAAGGUUCAGCCACACUGGAGAAUCUGCCACUACCUGAAAUAGUCAUGCUUGCAGCUCCAACUAUUUAUUGGGAAUACUUUCCCCUGCCUAUUUCCACACCUGGCCAAGAUCCUGGCACCUUCUUGGUGAAGCCUUUGCAGACUCCUCCAGACAGCACUGGAACCGACAGCAUGGGAAGCCCCAUGACACUGGGGCUGUGUUUUUACAUUUACUGCCAGUAUAUCCAUGGGAGAGAAAUGUGCUAAUAAUUCUUGAAUGAAUAAAAGAAUAUCCUCUUCUCCAUGGUGUCACCCU